Molecule: ribosomal RNA, 440 nt
Filed under: uncultured bacterium
Lineage: Bacteria
Description: partial 16S ribosomal RNA
Rfam family: Bacterial small subunit ribosomal RNA
Source: RNAcentral
CCUCCUUUCUUCCGCCGUUUUUGCUAUUGCCCCCUGGGGGGCCCCCUGAUGCAGCGACGCCGCGUGGGUGAAGAAGCGCCUCGGCGCGUACAGCCCUGUCAGCAGGGAAGAAAAUGACGGUACCUGAAGAAGAAGCCCCGGCUAACUACGUGCCAGCAGCCGCGGUAAUCCGUAGGGGGCAAGCGUGAUCCGGAUUUACUGGGUGUAAAGGGGGCGCAGCCGGCGAUGCAAGCCAGGAGUGAAAGCCCGGGGCCCAACCCCGGGACUGCUCUUGGAACUGCGUGGCUGGAGUGCAGGAGGGGCAGGCGGAAUUCCUGGUGUAGCGGGGAAAUGCGUAGAUAUCAGGAGGAACACCGGUGGCGAAGGCGGCCUGCUGGACUGCAACUGACGUUGAGGCCCGAAAGCGUGGGGAGCAAACAGGAUUAGAUACCCUUGUAGUC